GGGAAGACAUGAAGGAACAAGGUAAAGCUCAGCUUUCGUCUCAGCCUCUAGCCGGCAGCCGCUAUAGUCUUAAACCCUAAAUCGACUCUGUACUCCCUCUCCCUGUAGUUCCUCUCCGUCACUCGCCUUUCGUCUCCGACUCUCCGGCUCCGACUCUCCUUGAAUCUCUCUUUACCGAACUCAGCGGCACCAUGACGGAGAUUAUGAUGGAUUAAUGUGUGGAGCAACUACAAGUGGUGAGGAAGAUGAGAAUGGCAGUGCCAGUGAAGAAGCUACUCCAGUGGAAGCAUAGAAGCGCACCAUGCUGGAGUGCUGGAAUUAAAUUACAAAAUUUUGGCACAUUCGAGUGGGAGAUCAAGUGAGGAUAUUAGGAGUGUGAUUUGUCUACUUUUGGAUAGAUAAAUUUUUUAGUUUGUGGACCGUAUUAGUCCAUUAUGGACGUAUUGUGAGGAAAUAUUACAUUUUGUUAUGUGAGAUCGUAUUAUGGAUGGAUUGAUGAGACAUAUUAUUUUUUAUUGUUGUGGAUUAAUCUAAAUUUAUGUCGAUAUUAUAUUUGCCGUGAUUA
Punica granatum (pomegranate) is the source of this 565-nucleotide non-coding RNA. The record is from RefSeq and is a predicted model, not a curated record. Lineage: Eukaryota; Viridiplantae; Streptophyta; Magnoliopsida; Myrtales; Lythraceae.